RNAcentral lists this ribosomal RNA (451 nucleotides) under uncultured bacterium. RNAcentral describes it as "partial 16S ribosomal RNA". It matches the Rfam family "Bacterial small subunit ribosomal RNA", at positions 354 to 796 of the family's 1533-position model. The record is from RNAcentral.
GUGGGGAAUAUUGGACAAUGGGCGAAAGCCUGAUCCAGCCAUGCCGCGUGUGUGAAGAAGGCCUUUUGGUUGUAAAGCACUUUAAGCGAGGAGGAGGCUACCGAGAUUAAUACUCUUGGAUAGUGGACGUUACUCGCAGAAUAAGCACCGGCUAACUCUGUGCCAGCAGCCGCGGUAAUACAGAGGGUGCGAGCGUUAAUCGGAUUUACUGGGCGUAAAGCGUGCGUAGGCGGCUUUUUAAGUCGGAUGUGAAAUCCCUGAGCUUAACUUAGGAAUUGCAUUCGAUACUGGGAAGCUAGAGUAUGGGAGAGGAUGGUAGAAUUCCAGGUGUAGCGGUGAAAUGCGUAGAGAUCUGGAGGAAUACCGAUGGCGAAGGCAGCCAUCUGGCCUAAUACUGACGCUGAGGUACGAAAGCAUGGGGAGCAAACAGGAUUAGAUACCCCAGUAGUCC